GACGAACGCUGGCGGCGUGCUUAACACAUGCAAGUCGAACGGAAAGGCCCUGCUUUUGUGGGGUGCUCGAGUGGCGAACGGGUGAGUAACACGUGAGUAACCUGCCCUUGACUUUGGGAUAACUUCAGGAAACUGGGGCUAAUACCGGAUAGGAGCUCCUGCUGCAUGGUGGGGGUUGGAAAGUUUCGGCGGUUGGGGAUGGACUCGCGGCUUAUCAGCUUGUUGGUGGGGUAGUGGCUUACCAAGGCUGUGACGGGUAGCCGGCCUGAGAGGGUGACCGGCCACAAUGGGACUGAGGUACGGCCCAGACUCCUACGGGAGGCAGCAGUGGGGAAUAUUGCACAAUGGGCGGAAGCCUGAUGCAGCAACGCCGCGUGCGGGAUGACGGCCUUCGGGUUGUAAACCGCUUUCGCCUGUGACGAAGCGUGAGUGACGGUAAUGGGUAAAGAAGCACCGGCUAACUACGUG
RNAcentral lists this ribosomal RNA (468 nucleotides) under uncultured bacterium. RNAcentral's name for it is "partial 16S ribosomal RNA". It matches the Rfam family "Bacterial small subunit ribosomal RNA", at positions 28 to 507 of the family's 1533-position model. The record is from RNAcentral.